GACGAACGCUGGCGGCGUGCUUAACACAUGCAAGUCGAACGGAAAGGCCCUGCUUUUGUGGGGUGCUCGAGUGGCGAACGGGUGAGUGACACGUGAGUAACAUGCCCUUGACUUUGGGAUAACUUCAGGAAAAUGGGGCUAAUACCGGAUAGGAGCUACUGCUGCAUGGUGGGGGUUGGAAAGAUUCGGCGGUUGGGGAUGGACUCGCGGCUUAUCAGCUUGUUGGUGGGGUAGUGGCUUACCAAGGCUGUGACGGGUAGCCGGCCUGAGAGGGUGACCGGCCACAUUGGGACUGAGAGACGGCCCAGACGCCUACGGGAGGCAGCAGUGGAGAAUAUUGCACAAUGGGCGGAAGCCUGAUGCAGCAACGCCGCGUGCGGGAUGACGUCCUUCGGGGUGUAAACCGCUUUCGCCUGUGACGAAGCGUGAGUGACGGUAAUGGGUAAAGAAGCACCGGCUAACUACGUG
RNAcentral lists this ribosomal RNA (468 nucleotides) under uncultured bacterium. Its description in RNAcentral is "partial 16S ribosomal RNA". It matches the Rfam family "Bacterial small subunit ribosomal RNA", at positions 28 to 507 of the family's 1533-position model. The record is from RNAcentral.